Haliaeetus albicilla (white-tailed eagle) is the source of this 71-nucleotide non-coding RNA. The record is from Rfam. NCBI's taxonomy places the organism in Eukaryota, Metazoa, Chordata, Aves, Accipitriformes, Accipitridae.
GCACCAGUGGUGUAGUGGUAUCAUGCAAGAUUCCCAGUCUUGUGACCCGGGUUCGAUUCCUGGCUGGUGCA